RNAcentral lists this long non-coding RNA (4923 nucleotides) under Sus scrofa (pig). Its description in RNAcentral is "lncRNA (ENSSSCG00005018607.1)". Lineage: Eukaryota; Metazoa; Chordata; Mammalia; Artiodactyla; Suidae. The record is from RNAcentral.
UUUUUUUUUUUUUUUUUUUAUGGGCCACACCCACGGCAUAUGGAAGUUCCCAGGCUAGGAGUAGAAUCGGAGCUGCAGAUGCCAGCCUACACCGUAGGCACAGCCAAGCAGGAUCCAAGCCACGUCUGUGACCUACAUCACAGCUUACUGCAAACCCCAGAUAUUCAAUGCACUGAGCGAGACCAGGGACGGAACCCGCAUCCUCAUGAAUACUAGUUGGGUUUGUUACUGCUGAGCAACAACGGGAACUCCCAGAAGCAGAGAUUUUUUGGAGAGCAUCCCUGCCUGCUGGUGCACUGGGUCCUUUCCACGUCUCUGAAAAUUACCAAAGGGCAUUCCUCAAGGAGGAAGGCAAUCUUGGGAGGAAGAUUUUCCUCCCAAUCAACAAGUGGUUGGUGACUGAAGGCAAUACUACAAGAUAACUAUUUACUCAGUUGAUUUAAUUAUGAUUGCUGAGUUGUAACAAUGUCAAGUUUUAUAUAUACUUAUAUAUACUACAUUCAUAUAUUUUGUAUACAUUAUAUAUAAUAUAUACAUACACACACCUGUAAGUGCUGUCUAAUUAGCACUUACUAAACUCAAAUUCUGACCGUCACUAAAGCACAAGGUAAGUGUUUUUACUAAGACUCUCAUCUACGUCUUGUCUCUCAGGAUAUUAUCAAUUAUGUCCAUAUUCUGCUGAAAGCAUUAACCUUAUCUCCAUUUAGCUAUCAGAGAUGGAAAUUAAAAAAAAAAAAUCCUAAGGAAAAAGAAUGAGUCAUAACAUGCAAGGCAAAUGAGUGAAUUUUAUAAAAGGCAACAAUAAAAAAGAAUAUAAUUCCUUUGGCAUGCCAUAAGAAGACUCUUCCUGAAGAUUAUGCGUUUUAACCACGCCCUACCCAAUCAUCCAAUCGUUCAUUCAACAAAUAUUUGUUGUGCAUUCAUUAUUCCUUCAUUCAACCAAUUCCUCAAGCAUGCUCUGCAUGUGUGCCUCCUCCCAGGUGUGGGAGGUCGAGAUCACUGGAUUUAACAUGUGGCCGAGCAGCAGUGCCAGUGGAGACAGAUGACAUAACUGGCACACACUAUUCAGAGCACAUGCGCUCCAGGAACCCCAUGAGCCCUCAGACUGGUUCUUACUAGUCUGGGGCAGGAGAAGAACAGACAUUGAGAAUAUGUCUUAAGACCCUUCUCAUAGAUUUGACACUGUAAUUUUAUGUCUGGUAACUCUCAUAAUUAAAAGGGACUUGUGUUUCUUCGUAUUUUUUUUAAAAAAUUCUAUCUUAUAAAAGUAUUGAUCCACUAUAGACUGAGGCAGGGAAAGACCAAGAACCCUGCUUAAGGAAAGGGAAAGUGGCCAAGAACCUAGGAGAGAGCGAGCAAGACGAGGAGCACUCUUGCAGCCAGGGAAGCAGGGAGCAACCUCAAAGGGCUUCCUGGAGGUAGUGGCAUUGGACCAAAGCCUGAAAGGACAGAGUAGAAUCUAGGAGAAAAGGCCUUUGGAGGCAAAGCAAAAGGCUAAGGCAGGAAGUAUAGGGUUCAUACAGGGUACAGCAGGUAGGUACAUCUUUUUAAAGCAAAGAGGGAAUAAUAAUGAUAAUCGUGGCAAGUAUGCGUGGAACAUGUGCUGUGACUCGGGUUCUGUGCUGAGACUACAGUGGGAUUUCUCUCCUUUGUUCCUCCCAUGCAGGGACACUGAUUUGUAAAAAAUGGUUCCCAGAUGCCACUGACAGAUAGACACCAAGUCCUCUGCCUCCUGCUGGACGAGCGUGGGGCCUCACUGAGACUGAGUUGGGUUGGUACGUGUUCUCUUCAAAUGAAGUAAAAGCUGUCUCAAUGGUCCUUCUGGAACAGUGAUGUGAGCCCAAGCAUGAACGGGCAGGUAAGCAACAAGCAUGGGUUUUCCCAGGUCCAGCAAGGUCUCCAAUGCUUCACAACUGUUCAGUGACCUGGGGAACGCUCCCGUGAGCUGGCUGCAUCUGGCCUCUGCUAUGGUUACCACCUCAUAUUGCUAAGGUUGUGUGCCAGGGGCUAGGUAAAUAGACACUUUUAUCUGCUCUUCAAAGGUGUGUGUUCUGCUUCUCCUAGUUAGUGAAAAGCCAAGUGCAGCAUUUCUGUACUAAAUGUGAAGUGAUCUGUAGAGAUGAUAAGAACUCAAGCCUUGAGGCCUCCAGAGAGGCAAGAAGAGAACCUGGCCUAGCAGGUGGGACCCAGAAGACAGAUGGAGGCCCUGAUUCCUGAGUCCAGGAUGUGGACUUGGCACAAAAGACGGUAGGGAGUUAAUGCAGGUAGACGGAGUCUAAAAAUCCUAUGGGAGACUCUCUGCCUCCACAAAGAACAUUCUUGGGCACAGCAGGACAACACUGUGAGAAAUGAUCAAGUUACUCACAUGGCCCUAGGUCAUAGUCCUCUUGGGGAAAAAAGACUGAGCUGAAACAACACCGUCAGCUCUUCCUAAACCAGGUGCCUAUGAUACCCAAAGUCAUUCCCAAGUCUACAUUUUUCAGACAGCACUUUAAAAUGUCCAACUGGGGAAUUCCUGAGCCUACUUUAAAAAUUUUUAUACACAUUAAAUAUGAAACCUAACUUUUUUUUUUUUUGGACUUUUUGCCUUUUCUAAGGCUGCUCCCUCAUCAUAUGGAGGUUCCCAGGCCAAGAUAGUUUACUGUAUAAUUUAUGAUAAUGUUAAAUCUGUUUCUCAUAAAUGUUAAUGGUGCCACCAUUUUUUUUUCCAUAGAUGGGUAAUUCUCAGAAAAGCAGCUGGAUGUUAAAAGUUACAUAAAGAAAAAAAAAAAAAAAAAAAUGCCUCUGCCAACAAAUCCGAUUAAAACAAAAUAAAACUCCCCUAGGUUGCAGACACCAAGAUUCUAUUAAUGGCAGUCAGUCAUUCCAAAAUAAAGCCAUUCAAAAAUUCUGUUCUCCUGUUUUUCUAUCAUGAUUUCAUUAAGUUCACAUUCAGACUUCUCUCCACUUUAAUGGGUAGACAUCAAUAGAGAAAGCGUUCCUUACCUUAAUCCAGGUUCUUUCUAUUUCUAUAAAUUGCUGAAUUUCUUGUGCAUUAGUAUAAUACAGUAUGUCUAAGUGCCUCCUAAAGUAAAUUCUUUGCUUUUAAAAAUAUUUUACCUUCCAAGAUUCAAUAUUUUAGGUAAAAAUUCAAAAAUAUUUUACCUUUUCUCAUUGAUAGAAUUAGCAAACUUAAAUUUGAAAUAGAAAUGCCAUCACUUCAUAUUUUAUACCCUAUAGAAAUGUUUUGACUUCUAAAUACGUUUCAGGUAUGUUCUCUCAGACAUUGGGAAGCUGGAUUUUGAAAUCAUAUAAAUCUUUCAAAGUUACUCCCUGACAAAAGAAAAAGUCAAUUUCAAUUUAGCUACUGCACUGGGCUUCUGAAAUUACAAAUUUUGUAUUUUGAAGCACCUCAAAAUAAGAAUGCAGGUCUUCUAAAUUACUGACUGCAUAAAAAACAACAAACAAAAUGUAACCAAAAAAAGUUUUCAAAAUUCAACAAUAAAACAGCCACCAAAUCCUAUGGAAGAAUUAGGUUCAAUAUCCUCAAAUUGAUUGGUCUCAGGGUACCAAGGUUCUAGUCUCUCUUCUACUUGAUAAACUCUACAACCCUAUUCAUUCAUUCUUUCUAUCAGUCACUUUUUUUCUUUUUCAAUAGCCACAGCUGCAGCACAUGCAACUUCCCGGGCCAGGAUUGAAUCAAGCUGCAGCUACGACCUAUGCCUCAGCUGCAGCAAUGCCAGAUCCUUUAACCCGCUGAGCUGUGUUGGGGAUCGAAUCCCCACCCUGGCAGCAACACAAGCCGCUGCAGUCAGGUUCUUAACCCACUGCACCAUAGCAGGAACUCUCCAUCACUCAUUCUUUCAUUCAACUAAGACAUAGUGAACUUAACAGCAAGACACUGUGCUGGGCAUUGGUUUUAGAGAAAUGGUAGAAGAUAAUCUGUGCUUUCAAAGAGCCCUUCGUACGAGGGGAGAAAGAGACAGAUAAUCCUACGGUGUGGUGGGUAUGUUGAUAAAGACAGACAGAGAGUGUUAGGAAAAAAAUGGUGGGGGGAGGAGGGGUUUGUCAGGGUUUCAAGCUUUCUUCCAGAAAGUGAUGCCUCCACUGAGCCUUUAUACCUGCCCUGUCUUGGCUUCAUUGGCCUGUUGUGAGGCUCUUACGAGAUAAAGCCUGGGAAAGGGCCUUGUGAACUGAAACACAGAAGAGCAGGACUGGGAUUAUUUUCCAUGGUGAGAAAUAAAAAGCUGCAGAAUAAUGAAUGAGUUCUCUGGCAUCUCUGGCUAGUAAGGAAAACAUCCAAACGAUUUGGAAGAGGAUUUUUAAAAAUCCACUCUUGGCUGAUUUUCUCAAUCUCACUUUCAGAGUGAAAAUGCAAGGACUAUACAUCUCCAUUUCACAGGUGAGGAAAUGCAGGCACAGGACCUAGAUAGGUGGCCAAGACUGCCAAGGAGCAAAGGUCUGGGAGCUACUCAGGCUCGCAUGGCAGUGCUGGUGAAAGAUGGCGCUCUGCUUCCAUCAUGCUUCUCUCAAGGAGGACACUCUUCCUGCCAAAUACGGGAGGAGUUGAUUUCCUUAUCUUUUUUUUUUUUCUUCAUAAAAACACAUAAGAAAGUAAACAAAUAAAAUCCACACUAAAAACUCCCCAAAUAUCUUUGAAACAAUUUCUUCCACUUCCUUCCAAGGCAGAUCAAAUAGAGCAGGUAUUAAGACUCAGUUCAUCUUUCACUUGAGAUGAAAGUGGUCCUGACAAGCUUGCUGUAAGUGACCAUGAUAUGAACUUCAAGUAUAAGCAGAAAUUAAAAGAAGAACCUGAGGGUUCCCACUGUAGCUCAGUGGUAACGAACUCCACUAGUAUCCAUAAGGACAUGGAUUUGACCCCUGGCUGCGCUCAGUGGGUUAAAGAUCUGGCAUUGCCAAAAGCUGUGAUGUGGCUCGAUUCCU